ACGCUCGACACCUACGGGGGCAGCAGUGGGGAAUAUUGCACAAUGGGGGAAACCCCGAUGCAGCGACGCCGCGUGGAGGAAGAAGGUCUUCGGAUUGUAAACUCCUGUUGUUGGGGAAAAAGAGGAUGGUACCCAACAAGGAAGUGACGGCUAACUACGUGCCGCAGCCGCGGUAAUCUGAGCGGGCUGGCAAGGC
RNAcentral lists this ribosomal RNA (196 nucleotides) under uncultured bacterium. RNAcentral describes it as "partial 16S ribosomal RNA". It matches the Rfam family "Bacterial small subunit ribosomal RNA", at positions 328 to 539 of the family's 1533-position model. The record is from RNAcentral.